RNAcentral lists this transfer RNA (74 nucleotides) under Thermodesulfovibrionales bacterium. RNAcentral's name for it is "tRNA-Gln". It matches the Rfam family "tRNA". Rfam says of the family: Transfer RNA (tRNA) molecules are approximately 80 nucleotides in length. Their secondary structure includes four short double-helical elements and three loops (D, anti-codon, and T loops). The record is from RNAcentral. Lineage: Bacteria; Pseudomonadati; Nitrospirota; Thermodesulfovibrionia; Thermodesulfovibrionales.
UGGGGAGUCGUCCAGAGGCAGGACGGCAGACUCUGGAUCUGCUUACAGGGGUUCGAAUCCUCUCUCCCCAGCCA